Triticum aestivum (bread wheat) is the source of this 3846-nucleotide long non-coding RNA. RefSeq lists it as uncharacterized. The transcript is spliced from 5 exons. NCBI's taxonomy places the organism in Eukaryota, Viridiplantae, Streptophyta, Magnoliopsida, Poales, Poaceae. The record is from RefSeq and is a predicted model, not a curated record.
UGCCUCCUCUCCUUGCGUGCCGCAUGCUCGUCGCACAGUUUGCGGGGGUGUGGGGCAGGUCGUGCCCUCGAAACCCCGUCGGGCAAUCCCCUCGCCUUCACGCCACACCCCUCCCCACCUCCCUCCUCGAUCUCUCUCCACAGCACGAAGCCACGAACCCUAGCCCCCUCCCUCUCCCUCGCGUAUGCCGGUGUGCGUGAGUAAUAUGGCGGCGGCAGGGCUGGUGACCAUCAGAGGAUGCCAUGUGCUAGCUGGGGUGUUCCACGGUGAGGAACGACCGCGCUGGACGCUGUCCUACCCAGCCACACAUGGUUUUUCACGCAGAUCAAAUCUGCCAUGGUAAGGAGGGCCAAGAUCUGGACAGUGCGCCUCAACCACGCCUUCGUCUUCCACCUGCUUGCUGAUAGAGAGAUAGCAGCAGUGGUAGGAGGAGCCUGGGCGGAGAGGGGAGAAGUGGGCAAGGGGGUGCAGAGCCAGGAGGUGGGGGUCGCCGGGUGAGCACAGCCGCACAGGGCCUGGUGCCGCCGCUGACAGAGCAGAGUGGCGGACCACAAGGGGGUGCGAUGGGGUGGCCGAGAGAGCAUGGCAUCCGGCGAGACAGGCGGCUCCCAAGCAGGGAAUGCAGCGGCGCUGGCCUCUCCUCUCCCUGUCUGCCGCUGUCCUGUGUCGUCACUGCCGCUGUUGUCCUGCGUCGUCACUGAUGUCCCCAAGUGCUUCUCUCCACAAAUGGUGCCACCAUGUCCAGAUCAAGUCAAGCGCCAGGUGCAGGAAAAUAGAACACGUGCACUUAACUUGUUUGAGGAAAUUCCAUCUCGAAACAAGAUUUGAUUAGGACUUGUGUUCUUGAUGCUCUAUCUGUGGCUAACUCACUACAACAGCACAGAUGUAAAGGGAAUCCAUUGUAAGAAACACAGGUAAAAAGGCAUUUUCCUUGUUCUUACAGUUUUGGAUCAAAGUUCACAUUUACCUUGAGUGUCUCUUUUUUUGGUAUAAAAUGGAUUCAACAACCAAUUUUAUCUGAAGACCAAACUAUCAGUAAGGAAGUGCAAACUGAGAGAAGUGGGCAAAAUAACUUGAGCAAAGAACUAAUUCUAUGAAAUGCUACUUUCCAGUGAUUUGUUGUGGCCUGUUAAUUUUUCAGUAGGGAGCUUGAAGUUUUAAUGCAGCUAGGAAGUUUCAUUUUUAUUCUUAUCCACAGGCUUGCUAAAUUUACAUUUUUAAUUUCAUUUCUUUCUGGAAAGAGGCAACCUUAAACAAUUUGAUUUUUUUUACCAGAAUCCCUCUAAAACCAACCAACAACAAAUAUGAAAUGGCAUUGCAUUGUUAUAUCAGUGGUAAGUUCAUAUGCAUAUUCUCCGUUUCUCUGGAAUUGGUCGAAAGUGUUUCUUCUGCUAUUGAUUCAAUCACUAGGCUUGUUGCCUUUGUUGCUGAAUUUUGCAUUGCUACUGGAAGACACUGCAUUGUUGAAGGAGUCCAUUGGGGACUGGAGUCAAUGGCCUACAACAUGGGCAGGCACGUGCGCUUCAUGAUUGUUGUUGGUUAACUGAGAGUAUAUGAUGCUUCGAAGAAAUGAUGUGCAUAAUUCAGACUAAAUCUUGCUGGUGGCAGUGAGGAGUUUCUUUGGCUGCAGCACUUCGAUUCUUUCUCAUUGUCAAAUUUUGUUCAGCUUUUCUUCUCAUAUUUUUUGUUUGUUUCGGUGUGCUAUGUGCAUCUUGCUGGUGACCCAUGCAUUAGUCAUGCCUCCCCGUUCUGCUGUCCAUAGAAAUAUUUUUUCUCUUCAUCACCUCUGACUUUUAUUAGCUCGAGCCUUUGCAAGAGGAAGUAUACGAUCUGUUCUGUCAGCUUUAGAUUCUUAUAGAUUACCCAGGUGUUGUUUAUGGAUCGGAGUCAUUAAUUCAUGCCUAUAUUUGAAAAAAAAUCUAUAUGUGCAAAGAACUGCAUUAUUCAUGCUGACAUUACAUUUCUCUUUUUCGGACUGGCCUACUAAUGGUAGCCUCACUUCUUCUCCGCAUAGAAAUUAUCUUGAGGAAGUUUUAAGUACUAAAUUGAAAUAGUACUUUGGUGUGUACUCAAAGAAGAGGCUACCAUAUUAUUUGUUCUUACUUACGGUGGUAGCUUCUUCUCUGUGUAGAAAUUAUCUUGACGCAACUAAGGAAGACAUUGGUCAGGUCCAUCGACAUUGUCGGAGUUGUCACUUUAUUGCAGUGUCUUAUUUUCAGAUCUCAUGUUCCUCAAGGUGACAAGGCAUUGGAGCCAUGAUUUACUUAGUAGCUUUAUUGGCUGGCAUCGAACUAUUUGGUGCUACAAUUAUUAGGCUUGCUCUCACCUCUCAGUACUGCUCUAGACAGGGAACGUUGAUGACUCCAUACAGGUAACUCUUUUGAAAUCAUUGACAGUAUAAAUAUACAGUUGUGUGAUUAGAUUUGAGGUUAUUUAUAGUUCUUAAACCAGCAUAUGCUUUCAUUGCCUUUAGAGCACAAUUUAUAAUCAAAUGGAAACAACAUCCCUUCCUUUACUCGGAACAUGGCAUCUAGCAGAGGAAGAUGAGUACUAUAUAUGUAUAUCAGUAUAUCGCCAUCUCUAAAAAAGGUUUUUGUCUAUGGCUUUCGCACAUUAGGCUUUUUUCCAAUUGUGUUCAGUACAGAAAGAGCUUGCUGGCAUGUACAGGAGAAUAGGCUACAUAUUCUUGAAAUGCAGCAACUUCCUAAACUAAACCGUGGUGAUGUACUCUUUGCCGCUGAUUUAUUGAGAUCCAGCUGAAAAUAAGGGGAGAACAAACAUCAUCCUGCCAUUCCAGUUAUCUCAUAUUUAUUGAGAAAAGUUACACAGUUUGCUAUUGCAAAAUACUAAAAUUCAUGUAUGUAUCUGGCUUCAUUAUGGAGUUUAGAACAAAAUCGUUGGAAUUCUUAUGUUGAGAAAAGUUCAAUGGAAUAUUAUUAUUAUGUGUUAUGAAGGUCAUACAGAGAAUAUAUGUAGUGCUAUGAAUAUAAAUUAGAAUAUAUACGAAGGUCAUACAGAGAAUCCUUGGUUAAUGCAUUGGUUUUUCUUUCCCAUUCAAAAUGAUAUUUGAAGAUAAGGAUAUAGUAUGAGAUGCUUUAGGGGUUUAAACAAUUGGUUAAGAUUAAACACAUGUUGUGCCGAAUUGCAGUCCUUCGUCCAAAUUUUCUUGAUAAUGAUACACCAUUUGGCGACAGGUUUUAGAAAACUUCAAAUUCCACUAGAGAUUAUUUACUUUUAUGACACACAGUUGUGUAGCUGUGAUCAGUGAGAGUUUAAGUUAUAAUGGAAGAAGGAUCAGAAAUGCGGUUUGUAUGACCGAAAACAUCUUAACAUAUGGUUUAUUAUUUAUUAUGCUCUGUGCUAGUGAGAUCGGUUAGUAAUAUUACACAUAAUACAUUUUUUUCUAGUUGGGGCCCUCACCCUCUUAAGCAUGUUUCUUUAGUAUACUGGUUAAUUGUGACAGUGCAUAUAUUUGAGGCCAUCAUCAGGUCUCCACUGUUAUACAUUUAUCUUGCUACUUUGUUGUUCAAAUUAUUAUUUUGGAAACUAUUUGAACUCUUCUGAACGCCAUUUUUUCUUAUUGUUUUUCUUUAUAAGUUUCUCCAGGAUGGCAAUUUCCACCUGGAAAAGCAUCAAGGUCGGUGAUCCAAUCUGUGUUAUAUAGGAAUCUCUUCUUCGAUUGAGGCAUGGUAGCAGAUGAUGCAUCUGUUAUAUGUGUGCCAGAAGGGGGAUCCGGUUGCUUGAUUCUGUAUGCACAUUCUGUAAAUAAAACUAUGGAAUGCAGCUUUGAAAUUGUGUUCUCUGUGAUCUCCCCGCCAAACAAUAUAUUAUCUUCUGGUUCUUUAA